UUAGAGAGAAGGCCAAAAGCUCACACUGAAUAUAAAUGAUUUAACUCACCUAAUAAUGAAAGAGGAUCUCAGAUUGGAUAUAUGAAUGAAAUAGAGCUAUAUCCAAGCUUAAGGAUGGGAAUACUUGUAAUGGAGAGGUUGAAAAUGAAAAAGUGGGAGACGUUUUCGUAAGCAUGUUAGGUCCGGUUAUGCAGUUCACUGCUGCCCUACACAUUCCAAUUUGGGGAAGUGACUGGAGGUUAAAGGUCAUGAGAAUUCAGUUCUGGAAUAUAGAGGAAGAUAACGGUGGAGUGAUGUAUUCCAGGAGAGCGUGUGGUUGAUGGGAAAGUUUGGAGUCUUCAUCAUGCUGUUAGCAGGCAGCAGAUGUUUCAUUUCGAGGAUGUCUGUGAAAAGACAAGCAUCCUUGGCCAUGUGGACUGACUUGAUUUUAAAGUGAGGUUUGGGGCUGGUGGCAGGUGUCGUUAUAAGAGGGAGGCAGAGGAAGAUGACACAAAUAGGAGAAGAAAAUAUGAAUACAGAGGCAUAGAUUCGAGUGCUGUGGUCACAAGCCAAGGAAUGCCAGCGGCCACCAGCAGCUGGAAGAGCCAAGGAAUGAAGAGAGUACGGCCUUGCCAACACCUUGAUCUUGGCCCAGCCAUACUGAUUUUAGAUUUCUGGCCUCUAGAAUUGUGAACAAAUAAAUUUCUGUUGUUUUAAGUCACCAAGUUUGUGGUAAUUUGUUACACUAGCAAUAGGAAACGUUUGGUAGCGAAAGUGGGGUGUUGCUGUAAAAAAUACCCAAAAAU
Molecule: long non-coding RNA, 785 nt
Filed under: Homo sapiens (human)
Lineage: Eukaryota; Metazoa; Chordata; Mammalia; Primates; Hominidae
Description: HSALNT0282351
Source: RNAcentral